This 432-nucleotide ribosomal RNA is filed under the name uncultured bacterium. RNAcentral describes it as "partial 16S ribosomal RNA". It matches the Rfam family "Bacterial small subunit ribosomal RNA", at positions 29 to 506 of the family's 1533-position model. The record is from RNAcentral.
AACGAACGCUGGCGGCAUGCCUAACACAUGCAAGUCGAACGAGACCUUCGGGUCUAGUGGCGCACGGGUGCGUAACGCGUGGGAACCUGCCCUUAGGUUCGGAAUAACUCAGAGAAAUUUGAGCUAAUACCGGAUAAUGUCUUCGGACCAAAGAUUUAUCGCCUUUGGAUGGGCCCGCGUAGGAUUAGCUUGUUGGUGGGGUAAUGGCCUACCAAGGCGACGAUCCUUAGCUGGUCUGAGAGGAUGAUCAGCCACACUGGGACUGAGACACGGCCCAGACCCCGGAGGAGGGGAGAAGGGGGGAUUAUGGGACGAGGGGCGAAGGCAGAACCCCGCAGUGCCGGAGAGGAAAUUAAGUCCUUAGGAUGGUAAAGCUGUUUACCCAGGGAUGUUAAGGACAUAACCGGAGAAAAAACCCCGGGCAAACUCCUG